Molecule: ribosomal RNA, 253 nt
Filed under: uncultured bacterium
Lineage: Bacteria
Description: partial 16S ribosomal RNA
Rfam family: Bacterial small subunit ribosomal RNA
Source: RNAcentral
UACGUAGGGGGCAAGCGUUGUCCGGAAUCAUUGGGCGUAAAGAGCGCGUAGGCGGUCCGGUAAGUCCGCUCUGAAAGUCCGGGGCUCAACCCCGGGAGGCGGGCGGAUACUGUCGGGCUAGAGUCCGGAAGAGGCGAGUGGAACUCCUGGUGUAGCGGUGGAAUGCGCAGAUAUCAGGAAGAACACCAACGGCGAAGGCAGCUCGCUGGGACGGUACUGACGCUGAGACGCGAAAGCGUGGGGAGCGAACAGG